This 325-nucleotide ribosomal RNA is filed under the name uncultured eukaryote. RNAcentral's name for it is "partial 18S ribosomal RNA". It matches the Rfam family "Eukaryotic small subunit ribosomal RNA", at positions 1470 to 1796 of the family's 1831-position model. The record is from RNAcentral.
CCCUUAGAUGUUCUGGGCCGCACGCGCGCUACACUGAUGCAUUCAACGAGCCUAUCCUUGACCGACAGGUCCGGGUAAUCUUUGAAUCUGCAUCGUGACGGGGAUAGAUUAUUGCAAUUAUUAAUCUUCAACGAGGAAUGCCUAGUAGGCGCAAGUCAUCGGCUUGCGUCGAUUACGUCCCUGCCCUUUGUACACACCGCCCGUCGCUCCUACCGAUUGGGUGUGCUGGUGAAAUGUUCGGAUCGGCCGUUUGUCGCGGUUUCCGCGUCAUGUGGCUGAGAAGUUCAUUAAACCCUCCCACCUAGAGGAAGGAGAAGUCGUAACA